Long non-coding RNA from Canis lupus familiaris (dog), 1367 nucleotides. RefSeq lists it as uncharacterized. NCBI's taxonomy places the organism in Eukaryota, Metazoa, Chordata, Mammalia, Carnivora, Canidae. The record is from RefSeq and is a predicted model, not a curated record. The transcript has 5 exons.
CCGGCCACCGGUUCUUACGUCACUUCCACAAGCGCCGGUGUCCGCGGCUUCGGCCUUGCGGCGGGUUCAAUUCCCGCGUGGGGGGGGUGUUUUGUUUCGUUGGACCUUGACCUGACUAGAAAUCUCUUUCUCCUCGCUUUUCCCGCCUCUAGGUCCUGAACGUUUUCUGUCGCGACGGUUAGGGCUGAGCCUUCGAACUUUGUACCAAAGCCUUGUGAGCAGCUCGGCUGGAGCCCAAGGCCGGGAGUCGUCGGGUGUGCGGACGGGCGCUCCUCCGUGGGGCGUGUGCUCAGGUCUUGUUAACACGGCACCGGAAAGAGGCAGAGGGAGAAGCAGGCUCCAUGCAGGAAGCCCGACGUGGGACUCCAUCCCGGGUCUCCAGGAUCACACCCUGGGCUGAAGGCGGCGCUAAACCACUGAGCCACCCAGGCUGCCCAUAAGACCCAUUUUAGAUGUCUGAAUUAGAACUCUGAAAGCAAGGGAGAAGUCUGAGGAAAAGCACUUUGGGGAGAUCAAUGUAGUAUCACAGUCUUUCCCUUUUUAUCGACCUUGGUUUCUUUCCUGGCAAAGGAAUAAUAUCUUUCUCAUGACCUAACUUACAUGAUUGUAGGUGUUUAGUAUUUGUGGAUUGAGUGAUUCAAAAGAAAAAGCACACCUCCAAAAUCUUAGCAGAAAAACAAAACAAAACAAAACAAAACAAAACAAAACAAAACCAAAAUCUCAGUGCAGAAUGCAUAUGCCAAGUAAAGUCACAAACCGCUUCCAAAGAGUUCUCUUCUCUAUCAAAUGUCUGGAUAACAUACAGUUGCUGAUCCCAGAGCACUCCCUAAUAAACUUCCUGCAUGUUAAUUUCUUCUGAGUCUGUUUCCCAGGGAACUGGACCUACAGCAAAAUCAAUUAUAGCAGCUCUGCUUUUAUCAUUUAUAAAUAUUGGCUAUUCAUGUAAGAUUUCACUUAGGGCAAACCAAAAUAAAAAUCUUUGAAAGCCACUGAUCUAAUGUUUAAGUAAAUGCUCCACCUUAUAUGAAAAAUCAUUAUUAUAGUUUUAUGCAAGAUCAAUGUAAGUUAAUCCUUCCAAACCAACAGCUAAGCCCUGUAUUUUCCUUUUGUAACUGUUUCUUCUUAGCCUUUAUUUGUAUAUUGCAUUUACAUAUAUACUUAUGUGCCUGAUAAAGCUGAAAAUACACUAAAUAAUGAAAUCGUAGGUAUUUUUGGUAUUACAUAUGUAAAACCAAGAAACUAUACAACAGAAGCAAUUGUAGCAGACCAGAGAAGGGCAUUCAGUAGAUGGCAUAUAUACUCAAAUAUUGAUAGAAGUUUUUACAUAUCCCAUCCCCUACUCUCAAAAAAUAACUAAGAGUUUGUCU